GAAUCUGGCCUGAGGUUCGGGACAACCACUGGAAACGGUGGCUAAUACCGAAUGAGCCGAAAGGUGAAAGAUUAAUUGCCUGAGGAUGAGCUCGCGUCUGAUUAGCUAGUUGGUGGGGUAAAGGCCUACCAAGGCGGCGAUCAGUAGCUGGUCUGAGAGGACGAUCAGCCACACUGGGACUGAGACACGGCCCAGACUCCUACGGGAGGCAGCAGUGGGGAAUUUUCCGCAAUGGGCGAAAGCCUGACGGAGCAAUACCGCGUGAGGGAGGAAGGCUCUUGGGUUGUAAACCUCUUUUCUCAGGGAAGAACAAUGACGGUACCUGAGGAAUAAGCAUCGGCUAACUCCGUGCCAGCAGCCGCGGUAAUACGGAGGAUGCAAGCGUUAUCCGGAAUUAUUGGGCGUAAAGCGUCCGCAGGUGGCCAUUCAAGUCUGCUGUCAAAGCCUGGGGCUCAACCCCAGAAAGGCGGUGGAAACUGAGCGGCUAGAGUGCGGUAGGGGCAGAGGGAAUUCCCAGUGUAGCGGUGAAAUGCGUAGAGAUUGGGAAGAACACCGGUGGCGAAAGCGCUCUGCUGGGCCGCAACUGACACUCAUGGACGAAAGCUAGGGGAGCGAAUGGGAUUAGAUACCCCAGUAGUCA
RNAcentral lists this ribosomal RNA (640 nucleotides) under uncultured Nostocaceae cyanobacterium. RNAcentral describes it as "bacterial SSU rRNA". It matches the Rfam family "Bacterial small subunit ribosomal RNA", at positions 122 to 796 of the family's 1533-position model. Lineage: Bacteria; Bacillati; Cyanobacteriota; Cyanophyceae; Nostocales; Nostocaceae. The record is from RNAcentral.